Molecule: long non-coding RNA, 893 nt
Filed under: Homo sapiens (human)
Lineage: Eukaryota; Metazoa; Chordata; Mammalia; Primates; Hominidae
Description: p53 upregulated regulator of p53 levels
Source: RNAcentral
UGUGGUGACCUGGGAAUCAAUGUGUGAGGUGGUGCUAUGUAGCAGGAACCCCUCUUGCUUUGCAAAUAGUUUUUUGUUUGUUUUCCUUUUUGCCCAAUAGAGCCCUGCUCUACUGACCCUUCAAUGUGCCCGUGUGCCUAAAUAUUCCUGGUCGUGUGAAAAGAACCCAGGUAUUAGCUGAACUAAGGAGCACAAUUCUGCAACAUUUUGGCACCCAAACACGGGGCUUGAGAAAUGAAUGCAAUUGGAGAAACUGGUUGUUUUACCAGGCGUUGAUUGGAAAUGUGUGCUUCCCUUUAAGCAGUCAAGCUCAACUUGCAGAACUGAUGGGAACCCCUUGGGAAAACUGGCCUCAAAUGUUUGUCUACACAGUCCACAUACAGGGUUCUUAACCUGCGUGGACUGGAGCCCAAAAUGCACACUGGAGGAAGUGGAUGGAGCCACGUGGAUGUCAUGCCUUAUGCAGGGGAGGAGCCUGCUCUCUUCAGCUCCUGUGGUAAUGUGGGAAUCGAUCUGUGAGAUUCCAUGAACUCCAAGUUAAGAACACAUGAUCUGGAUGUUUGACAAAAUACCUUCAGCAGGAAUAAUGAAAGCCCUGACAUUUCUGUGUGCAUAAAAACUGGAAAACUUUAAAAGUAAUAAAUCACCAAGUCUUUAUAAAAAUCGAUGAGUUAGGAAACACUUUCUGAAAAUGUCAGAACUCUUGAAAACAUGGAUGAGGAAAAGCAUAAGUACUGCUUUAUGCUUUUCUUAUGAAUUUUAAAAGAUGUAAUUUAAAGGUACUUUAAAGUGAUAUUUGUGCCCUUGUAACUGAUUCAAAGUAGACUGCUAAGGACAAUAAGUAAUAAGAGUCUACAAAUAUCAGUAAAUUAUGAGAAAAAACGGUCUAAUGG